UACGUAGGGUGCGAGCGUUAAUCGGAAUUACUGGGCGUAAAGCGUGCGUAGGCGGUUUUGUAAGUCAGAUGUGAAAGCCCCGGGCUUAACCUGGGAAUGGCAUUUGGGACUGCAAGGCUUGAGUGCGGCAGAGGAGACUGGAAUUCCUGGUGUAGCAGUGAAAUGCGUAGAUAUCAGGAGGAAUACCGAUGGCGAAGGCAGGUCUCUGGGCUGACACUGACGCUCAUGCACGAAAGCGUGGGGAGCAAACAGG
RNAcentral lists this ribosomal RNA (253 nucleotides) under uncultured bacterium. RNAcentral describes it as "partial 16S ribosomal RNA". It matches the Rfam family "Bacterial small subunit ribosomal RNA", at positions 524 to 776 of the family's 1533-position model. The record is from RNAcentral.